UUACGGUUAUAUCACGUUGAAACACUUGUUUUCAUGCAAUCACUGAAAUUAAGCAAUGUUGAGCCUGGUCAGUACCAAGAUGGGUGACCAUUUGCGAAUAUCAUGUGCUGUAA
Non-coding RNA from Acanthosepion pharaonis, 113 nucleotides. The record is from the annotation of a GenBank genome assembly. Lineage: Eukaryota; Metazoa; Mollusca; Cephalopoda; Sepiida; Sepiidae.